AGUGAACGCUGGCGGUAGGCCUAACACAUGCAAGUCGAACGGCAGCACAGUAAGAGCUUGCUCUUACUGGUGGCGAGUGGCGGACGGGUGAGGAAUACAUCGGAAUCUACUUUUUCGUGGGGGAUAACGUAGGGAAACUUACGCUAAUACCUCAUACUACCUACGGGUGAAAUCAGGGGAUCUUCGGACCUUGCGCGACUGAAUGAGCCGAUGUCGGAUUAGCUAGUUGGCAGGGUAAAGGCCCACCAAGGCGACGAUCCGUAGCUGGUCUGAGAGGAUGAUCAGCCACACUGGAACUGAGACACGGUCCAGACUCCUACGGGAGGCAGCAGUGGGGAAUAUUGGACAAUGGGCGCAAGCCUGAUCCAGCCAUACCGCGUGAGUGAAGAAGGCCUUCGGGUUGUAAAGCCCUUUUGUUGGGAAAGAAAAGCAGCAGGAUAAUACCCCGCUGUUCUGACGGUACCCAAAGAAUAAGCAACGGCUAACUUCGUG
Molecule: ribosomal RNA, 492 nt
Filed under: uncultured bacterium
Lineage: Bacteria
Description: partial 16S ribosomal RNA
Rfam family: Bacterial small subunit ribosomal RNA
Source: RNAcentral